RNAcentral lists this ribosomal RNA (496 nucleotides) under uncultured bacterium. RNAcentral describes it as "partial 16S ribosomal RNA". It matches the Rfam family "Bacterial small subunit ribosomal RNA", at positions 28 to 506 of the family's 1533-position model. The record is from RNAcentral.
GAUGAACGCUGGCGGCGUGCCUAAUACAUGCAAGUCGAGCGAACAGACGAGGAGCUUGCUCCUCUGACGUUAGCGGCGGACGGGUGAGUAACACGUGGAUAACCUACCUAUAAGACUGGGAUAACUUCGGGAAGCCGGAGCUAAUACCGGAUAAUAUAUUGAACCGCAUGGUUCAAUAGUGAAAGACGGUUUUGCUGUCACUUAUAGAUGGAUCCGCGCAGCAUUAGCUAGUUGGUAAGGUAACGGCUUACCAAGGCGACGAUGCGUAGCCGACCUGAGAGGGGGAUGGGCCAAACUGGAACUGAGAAACGGCCCAGACUCCUACGGGAGGAAGCAGUAGGGAAUCUUCCGAAAUGGGCGAAGGCCUGACGGAGAAACGCCGCGUGAGGGAUGAAGGUCUUCGGAUCGUAAAACUCUGUUAUUAGGGAAGAAAAAAUGUGUAAGUAACUAGGAACGUCUUGACGGUACCUAAUAAGAAAGCCACGGCUAACUACGU